UAGCAAUAAAAAUGUGACAGUAAUGUGUUCACCCGUGGUCGUCCGUGGUAAUGUUCAUGAGGAAUUACAGGCACCUCUAUCCUAGGUGUAGCCUACUCAAUGCUUGCCAGUGCUCUCUGGCCAAUGGUUGCACUUGUAAUUCCAGAAUAUCUACUGGGAACAGCAUAUGGCAGAUAUGCAGGAAGAAACAUGACGAAAUGAUAUUCAGAGGUUGGCAUGCAUGUCGAGUUAGUGUCCAGAAGUUUGGGUUGUUUGACAAAUCUGGAACACAAACAGUGAUACUGAGAUCUCACAGUGGUUCUGUGUCUAGGUUUCUUUGGAGAUUUUCUGAACGAACUGACACCUGCAGCCAGUUUCUGCUACUAGGAUCCAUUUGACUCUAUCCGAUUAGAUAGUCUAUCAUUUCUUUUUCAGGCGUUUGACCCGAUGCGGUGUGUUUAUCGGUUGCUGUUGUUCGCAAAACGUUCACUUUUUAAAUAUCUUAUUUUAUUUUUCCUAAGCAGUGAUGCUAAGAAGAAUAGUCAGAGUAAAGUAAUUCUGUGUUUGAAGAACUGUAAGGUUCUGUAGUAAGUUUUCCCUGUUCGUUUUCACAUUUUGUGAGUGACGUGUGCAACAGAAGACGGAAGAGGAGAGGUUUCUGCGCAGUUUUUCGUGCAGGAAAGGCACUGAAGAGCUCUGCAGAUUGGAAUCUUUGACGGAAAAACGGAAACGGAAGAUGCUAUAAUC
This is a long non-coding RNA of Cryptotermes secundus, 726 nucleotides long. RefSeq lists it as uncharacterized. The transcript is spliced from 4 exons. The record is from RefSeq and is a predicted model, not a curated record. Lineage: Eukaryota; Metazoa; Arthropoda; Insecta; Blattodea; Kalotermitidae.